RNAcentral lists this long non-coding RNA (676 nucleotides) under Rattus norvegicus (Norway rat). RNAcentral describes it as "long non-coding RNA NONRATT017009". The record is from RNAcentral. Lineage: Eukaryota; Metazoa; Chordata; Mammalia; Rodentia; Muridae.
AGUACAAGGAAGAACCCAGCUUGCUUGCCAGUAGCCUAAUCUCACUAGGGAGAUGUUCAGAGAAGGUUUCAGAGCUGGGAUGAGGUUGAAGAUACAAAAUGAAAAGAGACUUAAUAAAUAGGGGUUAGAGAGAUGGCUCUGUGGUAAAGAGUAUUCCUUCUCGUACAGGAGACUGGUUUUUUGGUUACCAGUACCCAUAUCCACGGGGUGGCUCACAACAACCUGUUACUAUCUGGGGAGGCAGCUAUCCCCAGAGUGUGUGACUUCCUCAGUGGAGAAUGAGAUGUGAGGAGAGAGGGCUGGGAAGCAUUUAGAAGCCACAUGACAAGGAGGAGGCAAGCAUCUGAGCUGAAGGGUCAGAGAUGAACGUAGCUGAUAGACAAGUGGAAGUCACUGUCCAGAGGGUUUCAUGUUAGAGCCUUCUGUCCUAGACAUUCAGAACAUAUCUUUAAGUAGAGACUGCAAAUUUCGUAUUUGUUUAAAGUUAAAGAAAAAAAAAAAAAAAGCCCUACCGAGGCUCGUGAAUUCCGUUUAAAAUUCCUAAACCUGGCAUGGAGGUGAGCCCUUGUAAUUGUAGCAUUUGUGGGAUGGAAGGAAAAGGACCAAGAAUUCAAGUCGUUCUCAGCUACGUGGAAGUUUAAGGCCUGCUUGAGCCAUGAGCGCCGUGUCUUAAAAA